GAUGAACGCUGGCGGCGUGCUUAACACAUGCAAGCCGAACGAAGUUUUACGCUGGAUUGCGCCCUUCGGGGCAAAGUCCUUGUAAAACUUAGUGGCGGACGAGUGAGUAACACGUGGGUAAUCUGCCCGAUACACGGGGAUAAGCACUGGAAACGGUGUCUAAUACCCGAUAAGCCCCCGGCAUCGCAUGGUGCAGAGGGAAAAGAUUUAUCGGUAUCGGAGGAGCCCGCGUCCUGUUAGCUAGUUGGUGAGGUAAAAGCUCACCAAGGCAACGAUGGGUAGCCGACCUGAGAGGGUGAUCGGCCACGCCGGGACUGAGACACGGCCCGGACUCCUACGGGAGGCAGCAGUGAGGGAUAUUGCACAAUGGGCGAAAGCCUGAUGCAGCAACGCCGCGUGAAGGAAGAAGGUCUUCGGAUUGUAAACUUCUAUCGAUGGGGACGAAAAAAAUGACGGUACCCAAGUAAGAAGCCCCGGCUAACUACGUGCCAGCAGCAGCGGUAAUACGUAGGUGGCAAGCGUUGUCCGGAUUUAUUGGGCGUAAAGCGAGCGCAGGCGGUUUCUUAAGUCUGAUGUGAAAGCCCCCGGCUCAACCGGGGAGGGUCAUUGGAAACUGGGAAACUUGAGUGCAGAAGAGGAGAGUGGAAUUCCAUGUGUAGCGGUGAAAUGCGUAGAUAUAUGGAGGAACACCAGUGGCGAAGGCGGCUCUCUGGUCUGUAACUGACGCUGAGGCUCGAAAGCGUGGGGAGCGAACAGGAUUAGAUACCCUGGUAGUCCACGCCGUAAACGAUGAGUGCUAAGUGUUGGAGGGUUUCCGCCCUUCAGUGCUGCAGCUAACGCAUUAAGCACUCCGCCUGGGGAGUACGACCGCAAGGUUGAAACUCAAAGGAAUUGACGGGGGCCCGCACAAGCGGUGGAGCAUGUGGAUUAAUUCGAUGCAACGCGAAGAACCUUACCAAGGCUUGACAUGGAGAUGUAACACUAAGAGAUUAGUGCCCCCCUCGGGGCAACUCACACAGGUGGUGCAUGGUUGUCGUCAGCUCGUGUCGUGAGAUGUUGGGUUAAGUCCCGCAACGAGCGCAACCCUUAUCCUCAGUUACCAGCGGUUAAAGCCGGGUACUUUGGGGAGACUGCCGUGGAUAACACGGAGGAAGGUGGGGAUGAUGUCAAAUCAUCAUGCCCCUUACGUCUUGGGCUUCACACGUGCUACAAUGGUCUUUACAAAGUGAUGCAAUACUGCGAAGUGGAGCGAACCACAAAAAAAGACCCCAGUUCGGAUUGUAGGCUGCAACCCGCCUGCAUGAAGUUGGAAUCGCUAGUAAUCGCGAAUCAGAAUGUCGCGGUGAAUACGUUCCCGGGCCUUGUACACACCGCCCGUCACACCAUGGGAGUUGGAAACGCCCGAAGCCGGUGACUCAACCCGUAAGGGAGAGAGCCGUCGAAGGUGGAGCCAGCGACUGGGGUG
RNAcentral lists this ribosomal RNA (1465 nucleotides) under uncultured Bacillota bacterium. RNAcentral's name for it is "uncultured Firmicutes bacterium partial 16S ribosomal RNA". It matches the Rfam family "Bacterial small subunit ribosomal RNA". The record is from RNAcentral. Lineage: Bacteria; Bacillati; Bacillota.